UACAGAGGUCUCAAGCGUUGUUCGGAUUCAUUGGGCGUAAAGGGCGCGUAGGCGGGAUGACAAGUCGGUCGUGAAAUCCCUGGGCUCAACUCAGGGGGGUCGGCCGAUACUGCCAUUCUUGAGGGAUGCAGAGGAGACUGGAAUUCCCGGUGUAGCGGUGAAAUGUGUAGAGAUCGGGAGGAACACCGGUGGCGAAGGCGGGUCUCUGGGCAUUCCCUGACGCUGAGGCGCGAAAGCGUGGGGAGCAAACGGG
This 253-nucleotide ribosomal RNA is filed under the name uncultured bacterium. RNAcentral describes it as "partial 16S ribosomal RNA". It matches the Rfam family "Bacterial small subunit ribosomal RNA", at positions 524 to 776 of the family's 1533-position model. The record is from RNAcentral.